AGAGUUUGAUCCUGGCUCAGGACGAACGCUGGCGGCGUGCCUAACACAUGCAAGUCGAACGAGAAAUUUCAAUCUGAUUUCUUCGGGAUGAAGAUUGAGAUGGACAGUGGCGGACGGGCGAGUAACGCGUGAGUAACCUGCCCAUAAGUGAGGGAUAGCCCUUGGAAACGAGGAGUAAUACCUCAUAUUGUAUAUGAGUUGCAUGACUUAUAUAUGAAAGAUUUAUCGCUUAUGGAUGGACUCGCGUCAGAUUAGCUAGUUGGUGAGGUAACGGCUCACCAAGGCGACGAUCUGUAGCCGAACUGAGAGGUUGAUCGGCCGCAUUGGGACUGAGACACGGCCCAGACUCCUACGGGAGGCAGCAGUGGGGAAUAUUGCGCAAUGGGGGAAACCCUGACGCAGCAACGCCGCGUGCAGGAAGAAGGUCUUCGGAUUGUAAAUUGUUGUCGCAAGGGAAGAAGAACAGUGACGGUACCUUGUGAGAAAGUCACGGCUAACUACGUGCCAGCAGCCGCGGU
This 518-nucleotide ribosomal RNA is filed under the name uncultured bacterium. Its description in RNAcentral is "partial 16S ribosomal RNA". It matches the Rfam family "Bacterial small subunit ribosomal RNA", at positions 8 to 521 of the family's 1533-position model. The record is from RNAcentral.